CCCCCCGCCCCGUUCCUCUCCUGGGGCGAGCCACCUCCCCGCCGCCGCCAGCCUUCGCUUCCUGCUCCUCCUCCUCCUCCUCCGCCCCGUCCCCAACCUGCGAGCCCUGGCCUGGCCCCAGCACCCGUCCCACAGCAAUAUGUCCCCAGCCCCGCUUGUCCCGGUGUAAUUUUCCCCCUUCCCAGGGCAGGAUCCAGCCCCUGACCCCCCUGUGCAGGGCCGGGAGCACCCCCAGGGGCCGUGACCGUGCUUCAGUUUCCCCAGCUGGCUUUUUGGGGCGCAGCCCUUCACCGGGAGGUGACGGCAGCUCUCCCGGGACCAUUUGGGGACAAGCGCCAAGCUGCUGGAGCCCCGGCAGGAGGUGGGGACCUGUUCCGAGCCGUGCCGUGCCAAUACAGGAACAUCCCAGUCCCCAGGGGGUCGGGGCAGGGCCCGGCACGCUGUGGCUGUGCCAUGGGGAGCGCGGCCUCCCCGGGGGACCCACGGUGCCGAGGCUGCUGGCUGCAGUUUGCCGGGAGGAAGCGGCCCCGUCCCGGCCGUGCCGUGCCCCAGACGUGCUGCUCCGGCACGGGGCGUCUGCCUGGCACCACGGCAGAGCCUGCGCGGCGCCACGGCCGCCUCCUGCAGCGGGGAUUGAGCCUGCCACAAUUAGCACCAGCCCAGCACCGCACACCUCGGGAAUGACAGCGUCACGGUCCGGGGCCAGCUCACUCACGGCUGUCACCGCGGGGGGACACAACGCAUCCUCAGCCGGCUCCUCUGCGUCGACCAUCGUGGGGACAACCUGGCUGGGGACGUUGCACCCGGACACGUCCGCUCCGCUCAGCAAAGGGAACACGACAGCACACACGUCGCCACCCAGCCCGGCCCCGGCUUCCUCCCUACCCAGGAGCCCAAAAGCAGCAGCAGCAUCCACUCCUCCGACCGUGACACCGGGCUCGCCGACAACGACCCCAGCUCCAGCCACGUCGGUGCCACCCACCACGACCGCGGGGGCCGACACGAACACGUCCCUGCCCAGCUCGACCCCAGCACCAAGCCCGUCCUCGUUGGGGCCCUCCGAGCCCGUUCCUGCUCCCAGCUCUCCUGCUGCGCCCACCGUGAGCCCUGCUCCCAGCACAGCGCCAGCCCCCGGCCCCAGCAACGCCUCGGCCCCCAGCCCCAGCACAGCGCCAGCCCCCGGCCCCAGCAACGCCUCGGCCCCCGGCCCCAGCACAGCACCAGCCACCAGCCCCAGCACAGCACCCGUCAUCGGCACCAGCCUUGGGGCUGGCCCCUCAGCGCAGCCCCCCACCAAACCCAACCCCGGCCUGGUCGUCAUCAUCUGCCUCUUCGUCGCGGUGCUGGUGGGGGCCACGGCGCUGCUGCUGGUGCGGCUGUGCCGCUGCGGGACCCCCGGCUUCCAGCGGCUGGACGAGGUGCCCAUGGUGUGUGGGGGGCUUGCGGGGGGGGG
This 1453-nucleotide long non-coding RNA is filed under the name Anser cygnoides (Swan goose). RNAcentral's name for it is "lncRNA (ENSACDG00005014963.1)". The record is from RNAcentral. Lineage: Eukaryota; Metazoa; Chordata; Aves; Anseriformes; Anatidae.